AUAAUACCGGAUAGUCCUGACAAAGGUAAAGUAUUUUUCGGUUUAGGGAGGGGCCUGCGGCCUAUCAGCUAGUUGGUAAGGUAAUGGCCUACCAAGGCUAUGGACGGGUAGCUGAUCUGAGAGGAUGAUCAGCCAGAAGUGGGACUGAGACACCGGCCCAUACUCCGUACGGGAGGCAGCAGUGAGGAAUAUUCCGCAAUGGGGGAAACCCUGACGGAGCGACACCGCGUGGAGGAUGACGACUUUUUAGUUGUAAACUCCUGUCCUGAGGGAAGAAAUUUUUGACUGUACCUCAGAAGAAAGCACCGGCUAAUUCUGUG
RNAcentral lists this ribosomal RNA (320 nucleotides) under uncultured bacterium. Its description in RNAcentral is "bacterial SSU rRNA". It matches the Rfam family "Bacterial small subunit ribosomal RNA", at positions 163 to 507 of the family's 1533-position model. The record is from RNAcentral.